RNAcentral lists this ribosomal RNA (308 nucleotides) under uncultured soil bacterium. Its description in RNAcentral is "bacterial SSU rRNA". It matches the Rfam family "Bacterial small subunit ribosomal RNA", at positions 26 to 362 of the family's 1533-position model. The record is from RNAcentral.
AGAACGAACGCUGGCGGCAUGCCUAAUACAUGCAAGUCGAACGAGAUCUUCGGAUCUAGUGGCGCACGGGUGCGUAACGCGUGGGAAUCUACCCUUGGGUUCGGAAUAACAGUUGGAAACGACUGCUAAUACCGGAUGAUGACGAAAGUCCAAAGAUUUAUCGCCCAAGGAUGAGCCCGCGUAGGAUUAGCUAGUUGGUGAGGUAAAGGCUCACCAAGGCUACGAUCCUUAGCUGGUCUGAGAGGAUGAUCAGCCACACUGGGACUGAGACACGGCCCAGACUCCUACGGGAGGCAGCAGUAGGGAUA